Long non-coding RNA from Astatotilapia calliptera (eastern happy), 1799 nucleotides. The record is from Ensembl. NCBI's taxonomy places the organism in Eukaryota, Metazoa, Chordata, Actinopteri, Cichliformes, Cichlidae.
CUGACUGACUGGGGAAAUACCUGGCAAAGUUCCCAAAUAAACAAAUAAGAGCGAAAAGGAGAAGGAGGUGGAGGGCAGAGCGCAGACAGAGUACAGGGGUAUUUUCUGGUCCAGAUAACAGUCCCGUAAUAGUCGGCGGGAACAAGGCAUUGUACUUCCAGCACAGUUUGCCCCCAGAGUAAGAGUGAGGUCAGCAAGUCAGAGCAGAUUUUUUAAGAAAAGUUCAGUCUUUUGUGAUAUGAAAGUUGACCAGAACUUAAAAUCCCGGUUUCUUUAAACAGUGUCUUUGUUUUUUUGUUUUAUUAUGAAGAGGAACUGAGAGGAACACAAUUACUGCCAUAGGAGGACAUCGGCUGCUGUAGACGAGGAACAGAUAAAGAUGGGGCCCUGGACACAUACUGAAGACGGAGAAGCACGUAGCUGCCAGAUGCAACUUUGGAUAAAUAGCACAUGUACCUGCAUGUUCUCGUUUGCAUGACUGUGGGUGUUGUAGGUGUUUCUAGGAACAGAUCUUUGAAUCCAACUGAAGUUGAGUUGAAUUGAAUAAAAUAGCCUCAACCAAAGAGUGCAAAAAAAAAAAGAAGGAAAAAAUGGAGUAAAAAAAGAAAAGGAGAGAUGAAGAAAAAAGACCUAUAAAAUGGCAGCUGAGCUAAAGGAGAAGAAAAGGUGGGCUUUGGAAAUGGCUGAUGCAGGGCGGUCUCUACAGGCAAUGAGGACUCUUUGUCAGGAGCAGGAAAUGAGGUUUCUGUUGUGAUUAAAAGGAAGGUUUCUAUGGCAAUGCAGAGAGCCGUGUGCACAGAGAAUUUCUUGGCAGCGGAGGGGGCUAAGUGAGAGUCGAAUGUCAAAGAAAGCAGCCUUCCUCCAUCUCAUCUCCCACCACCCCUCUGCUUUGCCACAGCACCACUUUUUAUCUCUCAUAAUCUGUUUUCAUAGACACAGUUAAGACUGCACCAGGGGGAUUAUCUUGAGCAAACCGAGCCACUGGUUGAUCAGUCAUUUAUGUUUACGGAGUAGCAGUUUCACUUCACCAAAUCGCUACUGUCAAAUUAAAUAAGGAAAGAAAGGUUUAGCUGAGAGGCUAAUUAAAGCAAACAAAGAAAACAAACCCCACAAAACUGAAGAUGAUUAGCAUAAUGACCUGAUUGUGUCUUUUCUUGUUUGUCCAGACAGGUACAGUUUUCUCCACUUACCCCCCUUUGCCUUGUUCAGCCCACGAAGUAAAAAAAAAAAAAAAAAGCACAGUGGCAUCAGUGUGACCUUUAAAAUCUAAAUAUAGUAAAAAUCUUUGUUUAUUGUUUCACUGAGUUCAAAUAUAUUUCUUUAAAUAAAUCCCACAUCCUGAUUUUCUAUUUUCUCCGCUGGAGGAAGUUGCUCUCUGCAGUACGUGCCAUAUUUGCCCCGAACACAGAUUUGAUGCAGGAUGUUUGGAUAAGGAGACAUUUCAAACUGGGGAUCAAAGAGAAUUUUUAAAAUGCUGUUGAUAUUACCGACUCACGUGAAAAUAAUAUGUUAAUGUACCCGGUCUCCCUUCACUUCCAAACAGACCGAGUGGAAAAAGGGACUGAUGUUAAAUGGUUGAUAUGUGCGACAACAGAAAAAAAGCUAAAGGGGGAAGUCAGAGCUCAGAGUUUAUUUGAUGCUCUUCUGACUAAUGAUAUCUAUCUAAUUUGCACCCCCCCCCCCCCCCUUCCCCUGGUUAACAAAAACAUCCAGUUACCUGCAUAUUCUUCUCAAUGAUCAUCAUUUGUAAAAUAAACAAAAUAAUAUCUGAAAAUAAACAUUGUUAUUCUGUUCAAAAG